ACAGGGUGACAGGUGGUGCAUGGUUGUCGUCAGCUCGUGUCGUGAGAUGUUGGGUUAAGUCCCGCAACGAGCGCAACCCUCGACCUUAGUUGCCAGCAUUCAGUUGGGCACUCUAAGGUGACUGCCGGCUAAAAGUCGGAGGAAGUGGGGAUGACGUCAAGUCCUCAUGGCCUUUAUGGCCAGGGCUACACACGUACUACAAUGGCCGGUACAAAGGGCAGCGACAUUGCGAGAUGGAGCGAAUCCCGAAAAGCCGGUCUCAGUCCGGAUUGGAGUCUGCAACUCGACUCCAUGAAGUUGGAAUCGCUAGUAAUCGUGGAUCAGCAUGCCACGGUGAAUACGUUCCCGGGCCUU
This 354-nucleotide ribosomal RNA is filed under the name uncultured Desulfobulbus sp. Its description in RNAcentral is "bacterial SSU rRNA". It matches the Rfam family "Bacterial small subunit ribosomal RNA", at positions 1026 to 1382 of the family's 1533-position model. Lineage: Bacteria; Pseudomonadati; Thermodesulfobacteriota; Desulfobulbia; Desulfobulbales; Desulfobulbaceae. The record is from RNAcentral.